Molecule: unclassified non-coding RNA, 670 nt
Filed under: Kundmannia sicula
Lineage: Eukaryota; Viridiplantae; Streptophyta; Magnoliopsida; Apiales; Apiaceae
Description: sequence contains ITS1, 5.8S rRNA gene, ITS2
Source: RNAcentral
CUUAAACUCAGCGGGUAGUCCCGCCUGACCUGGGGUCACAUUCGGAGCGCGCGCACAACGUGUGGCGCCUAAGGAUCCUGGAGCUCGCUAUGGUGACAGGGAUUCACGCGACAACAAAAGAAGGUCUUUUUACAACCACCGAUGUCGCGAUGUCCGUCGCCGGAGACUCAAUUUUGGGCCAACCGCACCAAAUGGCACGGGAGGCCAAUUUCCGCCCCCAAAACAAAACAUUUCCAUAAGGAGUGACUGUUUGGGGGCAACACGAUGCGUGACACCCAGGCAGACGUGCCCUCAGCCUAAUGGCUUCGGGCGCAACUUGCGUUCAAAGACUCGAUGGUUCACGGGAUUCUGCAAUUCACACCAAGUAUCGCAUUUCGCUACGUUCUUCAUCGAUGCGAGAGCCGAGAUAUCCGUUGUCGAGAGUCGUUUGUGUUUUAGAAUGACGCCACUACCCGGCUAACGGGAAGCGAUCAUCAAUUCAGUUUUGAUUUCCUUGGCGCAUGCCGCGCCCGGAUGAUUUCGUAGGCCGAUGGCCACCGAAGGGCGACCACCUACCAAGGGUUCACUAACAGGGAACGAAAUCCCCGUGAGCUUGCCCGAUGUUUUUACGAGUUAGCGGGUCUUUCUGCUAUCGCAGGAUCGACAAUGAUCCUUCCGCAGGUUCACCUAC